This 71-nucleotide transfer RNA is filed under the name Danio rerio (zebrafish). It matches the Rfam family "tRNA". Rfam says of the family: Transfer RNA (tRNA) molecules are approximately 80 nucleotides in length. Their secondary structure includes four short double-helical elements and three loops (D, anti-codon, and T loops). Lineage: Eukaryota; Metazoa; Chordata; Actinopteri; Cypriniformes; Danionidae. The record is from Rfam by way of RNAcentral.
GCGUUGGUGGCUCAGUGGUAGAAUUCUCGCCUGCCACGUGGGAGACCCGGGUCUGAUUCCCGACCAAUGCA